RNAcentral lists this ribosomal RNA (492 nucleotides) under uncultured bacterium. RNAcentral describes it as "partial 16S ribosomal RNA". It matches the Rfam family "Bacterial small subunit ribosomal RNA", at positions 29 to 507 of the family's 1533-position model. The record is from RNAcentral.
AUUGAACGCUGGCGGCAUGCUUUACGCAUGCAAGUCGAACGGUAACAGGCCUUCGGGUGCUGACGAGUGGCGAACGGGUGAGUAAUGCAUCGGAACGUACCCAGAGGUGGGGGAUAACGCAGCGAAAGCUGUGCUAAUACCGCAUGUGAUCUGAGGAUGAAAGCGGGGGACCGAGCAGCAAUGUUUGGCCUCGCGCCUUUGGAGCGGCCGAUGUCGGAUUAGCUAGUUGGUGGGGUAAAGGCCUACCAAGGCGACGAUCCGUAGCUGGUCUGAGAGGACGACCAGCCACACUGGGACUGAGACACGGCCCAGACUCCUACGGGAGGCAGCAGUGGGGAAUUUUGGACAAUGGGCGCAAGCCUGAUCCAGCAAUGCCGCGUGCGGGAAGAAGGCCUUCGGGUUGUAAACCGCUUUUGGCGGGAACGAAACGGUGUCCGCUAAUACCGGGCGCUAAUGACGGUACCUGCAGAAUAAGCACCGGCUAACUACGUG